GGCAACUUGGCCGAGCGGUCUAAGGCGCCAGACUCAAGAUACCGGUUCGUUAAAGAACUUGCGUCUUCCCUGUUGUACCAGGGAGCAUUCUGGUCUCGAAAGAGGCGUGAGUUCGAAUCUCACAGUUGUCA
RNAcentral lists this transfer RNA (131 nucleotides) under Colletotrichum somersetense. Its description in RNAcentral is "tRNA-Leu". It matches the Rfam family "tRNA". From Rfam's summary of the family: Transfer RNA (tRNA) molecules are approximately 80 nucleotides in length. Their secondary structure includes four short double-helical elements and three loops (D, anti-codon, and T loops). Further hydrogen bonds mediate the characteristic L-shaped molecular structure. tRNAs have two regions of fundamental functional importance: the anti-codon, which is responsible for specific mRNA codon recognition, and the 3' end, to which the tRNAs corresponding amino acid is attached (by aminoacyl-tRNA synthetases). tRNAs cope with the degeneracy of the genetic code in two manners: having more than one tRNA (with a specific anti-codon) for a particular amino acid; and 'wobble' base-pairing, i.e. permitting non-standard base-pairing at the 3rd anti-codon position. The record is from RNAcentral. Lineage: Eukaryota; Fungi; Ascomycota; Sordariomycetes; Glomerellales; Glomerellaceae.